RNAcentral lists this ribosomal RNA (254 nucleotides) under uncultured bacterium. Its description in RNAcentral is "partial 16S ribosomal RNA". It matches the Rfam family "Bacterial small subunit ribosomal RNA", at positions 524 to 776 of the family's 1533-position model. The record is from RNAcentral.
CACGUAGGCACCAAGCGUUGUCCGGAUUUAUUGGGCGUAAGGAGCUCGUAGGCGGUUCAGUAAGUCAGGUGUGAAAACUUUGGGCUUAACCCAAAGCGUGCAUUUGAUACUGCUGUGACUUGAGUUCGGUAGGGGAGUGGGGAAUUCCUAGUGUAGCGGUGAAAUGCGCAGAUAUUAGGAGGAACACCGGUGGCGAAGGCGGCUCUCUGGGACGGUACUGACGCUGAGACGCGAAAGCGUGGGGAGCGAACAGG